GAUCACUGUAAUACCAAAUUGUUGGCAUUUGUUUUAUUUUCCAAAGCCAGAUCAUUUGUACUUCUCUUAAUAUUUUGGCUUUGGAACUUUGUUGUUGAUACAGAUAAUUUAUCUCCUUAUUGCCCUGUUUCCCUUAUUGCUGCCCUGCAUUUAGCUGCAAUUUGCUUUAAUUGAGUCAUCCCCAUGAUCAUGGAGAAUUUGUUCAGUAUUUUGAUGUUUACCUAUAAUCUCAUUUUGGAUUGUUUAUCUUGAUAAUUAACAUUAUUGCAUGAAGACCCAGUUGAGAAAAAAUAUUAUGUGGGAAAUUCAUUUUUUAAUAAAAGCUGAGUGUCAAAACCUGGAAUUUCUCUUCAUCCUUAAAAGGCUUGUAAAUAAAGACAGUUCAGUUGAAGAAACUAUACUCUUAAAGUCUAAUAUUUUUGGAAAUCAGAUUUGAGUCUUUGGGAUUUUGAAAUUUACAUAAAUAAUCUGGACUCUCAGCAAGCCUGAAUAAACAAUCACUAUUUGAUGGGAUAAUUUAAAGAGCGCAACUUAAUAUUGCAGUGGUAAUUUUGAAUCAAUAAACAGGAAUAUAAUCAGAUUGGGGAAUAUAUAAAUCUCUGUCAGUUCAGUGAAACCUACCAGCAGUGAGAGAAAAGAUAAAAGUGUAAAAAUCAGAUUGAAUUUUGGUUGAAGGCAUAUCUGCUUUGCCUCUGACUAGCAACAUGAAAUUGGUUAAGUUAUUCAACCUCUCUACAUUUCAGUUUCAGGAAAUGAAGUGGACAAAGAAGAUCAUCAUUAAGCAAUCUGUACCUCCAAUAUUCUAUAUUAUGUGGAGAUAUCAAGUCUGUAUUUGAUUACACAAAUCAUAGUUCCAAAAGAGUUCAGAAUGAGACAUAUAGAAUUGAAAGUCCUAUUUAUACAGAUACUGGUUAAAGCCCAGGGAUUAGAUGGGUUUAAAAUGCUUUAUCCCUAUAUAGAAAAGAGUACAGGCCCAGGAAAGGCCCCAGGGGCAUACCAUGAUUGGGCCGAGGAGCCAGUAAGAGAGUUUCAGUGACUAAGGAGACGCAAGGAGAGGAUGAGGUUUCUGAAACCAGGAGAAGAAAGCCUUCAUCAUAGAAGCAAGCAAUAAACUUCACUGAACACUUCUAAGACAUUUUGGACAAGAACAGAAGAUUUACCUUUGGAUUUUACUGCAUGUAGCUUAACAAAAGUUCAUAAAGGCAGUGACAAUGAAAGCUCAAUUAGAGUGGUCUGAGGAGGGAACUCAGGUGAUGAAGUAGAGAAUGCGACUAUAGAUGGCUCUUUCCAUAAGUUUUACUUUUAAAGGUAGCAGAGAACUAGAGUAGAGCUGCAGACAUAGUUCCCCCUCCUCCCCCUCCUCCAUCUCCAGUUUCUUCUUUCCAUGAGUGCAACAGAAUGAAAUUUAGAGCAUAAUCCUGUAGAAGGUAAGAAAUUAAUGAUGCAGGAAAGAGAUUGAAUAAUUGUCCAAAAUAAACAAAUCCUCAAGCAAUGCAAGGCAGUGGGCUCUAGCACACAAAGGGGUUGACAUCUGAUAGGAAUUUAGUUGUUUUAUCCACAUAACAGUUAUUUUUUCAGAGAAAAUCUAAUUGCAAAAAUAUAGCUGAAAACCAAACAUUAGCCCUAUGUGUGUGGUAACUUCUGAUGUAAAAUGCAUUUCUCAGUAUAGGUCCUGGUCAAAAAUCUUAAAAGUAAAAUACCUUGAGGGAACUACAGUUAGAAGACAGCAGGAUGAAGGAUAAUCAUCAGAAAGAAUACAAAGUGGGUCAGGCAUGGUGGUUCAUGCCUGUAAGCCC
Molecule: long non-coding RNA, 1796 nt
Organism: Macaca fascicularis (crab-eating macaque)
Lineage: Eukaryota; Metazoa; Chordata; Mammalia; Primates; Cercopithecidae
Source: Ensembl